This 484-nucleotide ribosomal RNA is filed under the name uncultured bacterium. RNAcentral's name for it is "partial 16S ribosomal RNA". It matches the Rfam family "Bacterial small subunit ribosomal RNA", at positions 29 to 507 of the family's 1533-position model. The record is from RNAcentral.
AUUGAACGCUGGCGGCAUGCUUUACACAUGCAAGUCGAACGGCAGCGCGGGCUUCGGCCUGGCGGCGAGUGGCGAACGGGUGAGUAAUACAUCGGAACGUGCCCAGUAGUGGGGGAUAGCUCGGCGAAAGCCGGAUUAAUACCGCAUACGACCUGAGGGUGAAAGCGGGGGAUCUUCGGACCUCGCGCUAUUGGAGCGGCCGAUGGCAGAUUAGCUAGUUGGUGGGGUAAAGGCCUACCAAGGCGACGAUCUGUAGCUGGUCUGAGAGGACGACCAGCCACACUGGGACUGAGACACGGCCCAGACUCCUACGGGAGGCAGCAGUGGGGAAUUUUGGACAAUGGGCGAAAGCCUGAUCCAGCAAUGCCGCGUGUGUGAUGAGGGCCCUCGGGUUGUAAAGCACUUUUGGCGGGAACGAAAAGGACUGUGCCAAUACCACGGUUCGAUGACGGUACCCGCAGAAUAAGCACCGGCUAACUACGUG